AAGUAGGACUAAUUAAUAAGUGAGGUCGUAUUUUAGUCCCGUUCGCGAAUAAAGAAUAAAACUUGGGCUCGAGCAACCCAUUUUUAGGCCUAAAUUUUGGGCCUAGCCCAUAAUUCCCAAGCCCAUAAUCCCUAGGCUCAUACCCUUAACCUAACUCCUACCCCUAUAUAAUAGUAUCUAACACCUAAAAUAAAAGAAAAAAAAUUAGAUCCGCCGCAGCUCAAACGGCCCCCUUCCUCUCGCUGAUUUUCCAAUCUGGAACCAGCAGCCUUCACCUCCUUCUUCAACAGCCGAAUCUUAAAACCUCCUUAACCCUUUAACCUUCAUAAACAUCAGCUAAAUACUAGCCUAAAAUCUAGCCAAAAAGUAGUCAAAAUUCAGCGUACAUCCAUAAAACCUGCCGCAAAAAACAUCAGCUCACAUGUAAAGCAUUCGAGGUUCCGGUGCCGAUGCACUUUCAUUCGAUUUCUGGUGGGAUUUUCUCUGUUGGAGUCCAUUCGGCUUUGAUCUCAGCUGUUGUAAUUUCACUGAAAUGCUUGCUAAUAAAAUUUGCUUGAAGAAGUUCGGCUUCUGAAAAGAUUCAUACAAAAAAGAGGAACAAACUAACCUUGAAGCGUCUCAAUGAUCUAGUCUUUAUUAAGUACAAUUGAACAUUGAGGCGUUGUUACAACGCUCACAAUGUAAUUGAUCCAAUUAGUUUGAAAAACAUUUAUGAUGCUAAUGAAUGGCUAACUGGAGUUCCGGAAGAUCAUGCAGAUGAAGAAGUAUUUGAGGAUACUUCUGAUUUCACUUGGGGUGAUGUUGCGGAGGCGCGUGAAAUUGGGGAGAGGUUUAUGGUUUGAGGGGGAGUACCUCAACUUCAAGUUCACAAAGGAAGGAAAAACAGGCAGCUACUUUGUCCCUAGUUGAUGAAGAAGAUGAUGAGCAACAUAAUAAUAAUAAUAGUGGAAUACAAGAAUUUGACAAUCUUGUAGAAGAAUAGGAUACUCAUUUGUGCUUUAAGUGAUGCUACUCUUUAGUUUUUUAAUUGAAGUAUUGAACAUUUGCUUACAAUUACAUGUAUUGUCUAUGUAGUAGUUAUUUUAAUUUUUUUAAAAUUCCAUUUCACUUAAAAAAAGCGAGCGUUUUGCUUCUCGCUUCUCGUGAAAUGGGGUUGUCGCUUUUUCUCGCUUCACGCCCUUCACAACACUGCAAAAAACAUAUUGUCAGAUA
Molecule: long non-coding RNA, 1212 nt
Organism: Nicotiana tabacum (common tobacco)
Lineage: Eukaryota; Viridiplantae; Streptophyta; Magnoliopsida; Solanales; Solanaceae
Source: RefSeq, a predicted model, not a curated record